AAUUUUGGACAAUGGGGGAAACCCUGAUCCAGCCAUCCCGCGUGUAUGAUGAAGGCCUUCUGGUUGUAAAGCUCUUUCUGCGGGGAAGAUAAUGACGGUACCCGCAGAAGAAGCCUCGUCUAACUUCGUGCCAGCAGCCGCGGUAAUACGAAGGGGGCUAGCGUUGUUCGGAAUUACUGGGCGUAGAGGGCGCGUAGGCGGAUUUGCAAGUUAGGGGUGAAAUCCCGGGGCUCAACCCCGGAACUGCCUCUAAAACUGCUAAUCUAGAGUUCGGGAGAGGUGAGUGGAAUUCCGAGUGUAGAGGUGAAAUUCGUAGAUAUUCGGAGGAACACCAGUGGCGAAGGCGGCUCACUGGCCCGAAGCUGACGCUGAGGCGCGAAAGCGUGGGGAGCAAACAGG
This 399-nucleotide ribosomal RNA is filed under the name uncultured bacterium. RNAcentral's name for it is "partial 16S ribosomal RNA". It matches the Rfam family "Bacterial small subunit ribosomal RNA", at positions 360 to 776 of the family's 1533-position model. The record is from RNAcentral.